This 556-nucleotide ribosomal RNA is filed under the name Hanseniaspora uvarum. Its description in RNAcentral is "partial large subunit ribosomal RNA". It matches the Rfam family "Eukaryotic large subunit ribosomal RNA", at positions 80 to 651 of the family's 3401-position model. The record is from RNAcentral. Lineage: Eukaryota; Fungi; Ascomycota; Saccharomycetes; Saccharomycodales; Saccharomycodaceae.
UUAGUACGGCGAGUGAAGCGGUAAAAGCUCAAAUUUGAAAUCUGGUACUUUCAGUGCCCGAGUUGUAAUUUGUAGAAUUUGUCUUUGAUUAGGUCCUUGUCUAUGUUCCUUGGAACAGGACGUCAUAGAGGGUGAGAAUCCCGUUUGGCGAGGAUACCUUUUCUCUGUAAGACUUUUUCGAAGAGUCGAGUUGUUUGGGAAUGCAGCUCAAAGUGGGUGGUAAAUUCCAUCUAAAGCUAAAUAUUGGCGAGAGACCGAUAGCGAACAAGUACAGUGAUGGAAAGAUGAAAAGAACUUUGAAAAGAGAGUGAAAAAGUACGUGAAAUUGUUGAAAGGGAAGGGCAUUUGAUCAGACAUGGUGUUUUUUGCAUGCACUCGCCUCUCGUGGGCUUGGGCCUCUCAAAAAUUUCACUGGGCCAACAUCAAUUCUGGCAGCAGGAUAAAUCAUUAAGAAUGUAGCUACUUCGGUAGUGUUAUAGCUUUUUGGAAUACUGUUAGCCGGGAUUGAGGACUGCGCUUCGGCAAGGAUGUUGGCAUAAUGGUUAAAUGCCGCCCG